This 429-nucleotide ribosomal RNA is filed under the name Chloroflexota bacterium. RNAcentral describes it as "Chloroflexi bacterium partial 16S ribosomal RNA". It matches the Rfam family "Bacterial small subunit ribosomal RNA", at positions 355 to 776 of the family's 1533-position model. The record is from RNAcentral. Lineage: Bacteria; Bacillati; Chloroflexota.
UGGGGAAUAUUGCACAAUGGGCGCAAGCCUGAUGCAGCCAUGCCGCGUGUGUGAAGAAGGCCUUCGGGUUGUAAAGCACUUUCAGCGGGGAGGAAGGCGAUAAGGUUAAUAACCUUGUCGAUUGACGUUACCCGCAGAAGAAGCACCGGCUAACUCCGUGCCAGCAGCCGCGGUAAUACGGAGGGUGCAAGCGUUAAUCGGAAUUACUGGGCGUAAAGCGCACGCAGGCGGUCUGUCAAGUCGGAUGUGAAAUCCCCGGGCUCAACCUGGGAACUGCAUUCGAAACUGGCAGGCUAGAGUCUUGUAGAGGGGGGUAGGAUUCCAGGUGUAGCGGUGAAAUGCGUAGAGAUCUGGAGGAAUACCGGUGGCGAAGGCGGCCCCCUGGACAAAGACUGACGCUCAGGUGCGAAAGCGUGGGGAGCGAACAGG